Molecule: long non-coding RNA, 207 nt
Filed under: Carica papaya (papaya)
Lineage: Eukaryota; Viridiplantae; Streptophyta; Magnoliopsida; Brassicales; Caricaceae
Description: long non-coding RNA (CPAP_LNC006740)
Source: RNAcentral
AGCAUAUUUUAAUCUCCGAAGAAAAAUUCAGGGAACCUGGGGGACCGCCAGUAUGUGCAACUGAAAGUUUAGUAUUUCGAAUACCAAUUCGGGUAAGAAUCUCUUACCUUAUUCCUUGUUAUGGAAUUGAAGUCUAAUUAUAAAUAAUACAGUAUUUUGUGUAAUUUAAAAAACUUCGAUAAUUAAUUACAGGUUACUAAUGGAGCC